CUGAUGCUUUUACACAUAACACAACACAACAUAACAUAACCCUACACGUGGUGUAGGGUUUUACAUUAGAUGCUCCUCACCCUUCUCUUAUUGGUGCUGAUAAUAAGUCCUUCAGCUGACUGGAUAGCUCAGUUAGUUAGAGUGUGGUGCUGAUAAUGCCAUGGUUGCAGGUUCGAUCCCUGUCAGGGACAAACUGCAUAUUUCUGUAUUGCAGAGGGUUGGACUGGAUGAUCCUUGGGGUCCCUGCCAACUCAACAGUUAUAUAAUUCUGCGAUGAUGAGGAUGAUGAUGAUGAUCCUCAGGGUCCCUUCCAACUCUACAGUUCUAUGAUUCUGAUGAUGAUGAUUUUAUCUCAUCCUUCUUGCAAGGAGCACAGGACAGUAUACAUACCCUGCUUGCUCUCAACAACCCUGUGAGGUAGUAGAUUAAGGGUAAGAGAGAGCAACUGGCCCCCAAGAUCACCUGGCAAGCUUCAUGGCUGAGUGGAGAUUUGAACCCUGUCUCCGAGGUCCUGUUCUAACACUCUUAAGUGUUGCACCCCACUGGCUGUCCAUCAACUGAAUGGAACAGGAAAGACUGAAUUCUGAGGUGUAAGUCUGCUGACCAGGAUCCGCUACUCAGAAGCUUUGGGGUAGAUUCAGGAACUCAGUGGGUGCUCUGUAUUGAUGUGAUUUGAGGAUUGCUUCUGUGAAGCCCAGCUUUGGCUGCAGUUAUUUUGAGGAUAGUGUGGUGGUUGAACCUGCGCUGUAAUUAAUUAGAAACCUCAACGAUGAAAGCCCUGUUGAAAUGAAUAGGAGUUGCAUAACAUUCCCACCCACAUUUCCAUGGAGUUUGUGUUGAAUUUCUGGAGGUUGUGCAUUUGAUUUCCAUCAGGCAGUCUCUUGGCUUAUCUUCAAAAUAGGAUGAGGAUGCUCGUCUUCCAAGUUGGUUUCCUAAAAGCAGUGGUUGUAGAACAGAGUAACCUUGUGCUCAGAAGUAUUUUCAUUAAUUGUCCUCACAGGUGAUCUUCAGCGCCCAUAGCAUGAAGUCAGUCCUCAGGUGGUUGAGUGAAUAGAUCCUUCCACCAAGUAACUUUAUGUUAGCUUACCUGGAAUAAGCACAUUGAAGAGAAGACUGGAUUUGUGGUUCUUAGAGCAGGCAGUAUAGGAGCUUCAAAUUGCUGUGAAAUGCAGGCAAAUGGUGUACAUGUUUUUUCUCUCUUACACUGAAUCACAACGUUGUCCACCUAGCUCAGUAUUGUCUCUGCAUUGUUUGGCCGUGGCUCACCAGGGUUUAGAUGGGGAGAAUUCCCAACCCAACCUGUAGAUGCCCGGAAUUUAGCCUGGCGCCUUCUGCAUGCAAAGCAGGUGAUCUACCACCGAGUUACGGCACUUCCAUGGAGGUACAGCCUAAGGGCACGGUAGUUUCUAGAUCGAACCCUAGACAAAUAAUGCACCACACCCUGGUUUUGCACCUCCAGUUCGGUGUUACAGAUGAUAAAUCUCUGCCUUCGUUUUUGUGCUUGUGUAUUUCAGAGAAGUGGAAAGUCCCUUUUCAGUCUUUAGGGUUUGAGAGUGCUGUUGAGCGGUUAAAACAUUUCAAGGUAUACCUGAGCCACAUUGAGCAAUGUGUGCCCUGAAAAGCAAUUUUUGCUCCCCCCCCCCCGCUAUAUUUACUUCUGCCAUUUGCCAUUCCCCCUUAUAAAACGGUACUCUGGAGGGUGAAAUCUGAAAGAUUUGUGAUUUGAAAUAUUUGAAAGUUGUGUGCUCACCUCUAAUGCUUAACUGUAUAGACAUGAUUUUUUUUUUUUUAAUUAUACGUCUCCUAAGCAUGCUGUUGGCUUACAUUGGGAUUUUUUUUCUUAAACGCUCUAGAAAUGCAGCAAUGAAAGACUAACUUUCCUCAGAACAGCCACUGAGUUUACUACCCUGCCCACGAUGAGCCAUUCAUGGUUGCAUUCCACAUCCCCUGUUCAUCAGCUCGUCUAUGUUUUAUAAUUACUGUUUAUUUUUAAGAGCCUCUUAAAGCCACCCAGAGAGGAGGUGAAUCAUAGGGACUCCUGGUCUUUGCAAAAAGAAACCCUUUUUUGUGUGUGAGAAAGUCAGGCUUGGUCCAUGAAAACGAUUCUCCUCUUUUUGCCCCACACUCUCUUAAGCCAAAGUCUGGCAAAUGGUAGCUUUUGCAACUGAAUAAAGAGAGAUGCAGUGUGCUUUUCGUAUGGAUGCCGGUCCCUUUUCAGCAGAGAGGUUCCUUGAAUCUGGGGAGAUCUGGAUUCGAGUCUUCUCUGUGUCAUGGAUCCUUAGUGUGGCUUGAGCAGGCUGCUUUGCAGAAACAUCUGACAUGCAUUGGCUAGAAAAUUGAGAAAGGAACCCCUCGUCGGCUGCAACUGGAUUUUGGAACUCCUUGCUGAGAGAGGUUCUUCCACCAACAAGCAGCAACCUUUUAAAUAGUUAUAAUAAACUGCCUUCCAUUGAGUCAGAUGAUUGCCCCACCUACCUCAGUCUGCACUGUCUGGCAGUGGCUCUCCAGGGUUUUCAGACAGCAAAUUUCCAGCCCUACCUGGAGAUAUAGGGGAUUGAACCUGGGACCUUCUGCAUGCAAAGCAGAUGCUCCACCACUGGGCUACAGCCCUUCCCAGGGUCAUUAGACAUACUGAACUGACUUUUAUUUUUUUGCUCUGCUGCUCUGUGUUUUAAUCUAUAUUUCUAAUUUAAUUAUGUUUUUAACUAGCUGCCAUUUCUAUCCACUUUAAUCUUAUUUUAAUCAUCUUCUUACUUACUUGUGAGCCAAUUGUUCCUUAUUAUGGGUUUCAUUGUCACCUUGACCUUUUUUCAAAAACUGGAAAGGCAGGGUACGGACAUGGGUGUCAGUGAUAAAAUGGGAACCAUAGUUAAACUUGCGCUACAAUUUUAUUGAGAAACAGAGGGCACAGGGCUAUCUAGUGGGCCUCCUCCUUUAUUUCCUGAGGGACUGGGCAGCUUCCAUUGGUGACGACUUCUUCUUCUUCUUCCUCCUCUUCCUCCUCCUCCUCCUCCUCCUCCUCCUCCUAUUAUUAUUACUCACUCAUCUGACAGGGUUGUUCUAGAGUGCAGUAGGUUCUCCUGUCUAAAUGUUGUGUGUAGUGUCUUCUGUAGCGCCAUCCAAUAACAAAAGGAGUUCCUGCCUGGGGCUGAUAGGACUGUGUUUUUAAGUGUUGGCCUGGGUGCGGGGAGCAUCAUUGAUGGGCCUCUUGCUUAGGUCCCACUGACUGCCCUGGGGCCUAGUGGCUAGAGCAUGUUCUUUGAUACCCACAAGGUUCCAUGCAACUGGCCAAAAGGUUCUCAAGAGCAGAUCUGGGAGAGACCACCUCUGAAAACCUUGCAGUACACGUUGACUACGUAGAUCAACAUUUUAAAUAUUCCGCACCCAAGUUACUAGUGCACACUUAUCCACUUUCCAAAGGCUGGCAGAGGAGAAAGAGAGCUGCAUUGCUAUGCUGGACGGAGAGGCAGGCCCAGAUGCUCCUACAUGUAAUUCCUGGUUGCCUGGCGCUCAAAUACAAGGCUGUAGAUUUGACUUGAUUUAAUAUUUGUAUUACACUUUUUCAACAGCAGAUGUUGAGCUCAAAGCAGCUCACAAUAAUCACAAUAGCAUUAGGGGAGAAACGUUAAACACUGCAAUGUCAAAUACAGUAACAUAUAAAUAAAGCAAAGCAACAACAGCAAAUUACUCAAAACAAUCCAAUCCAAUAAACCAUAGUAAUUCAGAAUAUUGGAAAGAGUGUUGGGGAACUUUAGGCUUGAAUGCCAGAUGUGCCUGCCUUCUACUUUGCUGCGUAGAGCAUGGGACUCUUAUACUCAGGGCCUUGGGUUUGAGACCCAGGUAGGGCAAAAGAUUCCUACAUUGCAGGGGGUUGGACUAGAUGAUUCUUGUGGUACCUUCCAACUAUACAGUUUCAUGAUUCUAUGUUUUUCAUGCCCUUGGAACCUUCUAGGCCCACAUGCUUUAUCUCCUUGCUUCACCACACUCUUUGGUUGCUUUUGCCUCACUGUAAUGUGUCCUUGAACUUGGAAGGAGGAUAGAGAAGGGUGUGCAUGUCUGUAAAGAAACCUAACCUAGAUUGCAGAAGUAAAAGUGACCUUAGUUGCUCUGCCCUCUUUUGCUUCUGGCCCUACCAUUGUCCUGCGGCCCCCAGAGGGUUGCCCAGGAGGGGAUGUGGCCCUCAAGCUGAAAAAGAUUCCCUGCUUUAGACAGUAAUGAACUGCAUGGACCCCUGGCCUAACUUGUGUGCCUGUUAAUUACAAAGUCUGCCAAGUUAGAAAAGGACCACUAUUUUGUCACUUCUGAACAAGGGAGAUGGUAAUUGCUUGCUCAGUUGAGGCCUUUAGCUCCUGCCUGCUUAAGUAGGGUUGAAUCAACCGACUGUGUUUGCAUGACCAAAUUUUUAAAGAGCAAAAUGCUGCCAGUGAUAUUUGGAGCGGUGUGUGUGUGUGUGUGUGUUUGUGUGGUGCAAACUUUUACUGUGUUUCAAAACGAUUUCGCUGAAUGAUGCACCCCUCGUGCCUGUGCAAGAAGAGUGUGUCAGAGGCUGUUCCCUCAAACGCCGCGGUGGCAGUGCUGGGCUUCCUCCGAGGCCUGUGAAUAGCUUUAAUGCUUUUUUACUCAACGUGUCAGGAUGCCAUUUCAGCACAUCUGUCAAAGCAGGAGCCAGGAGCAGCUGCUGGUGUUUGGAAGCUUACCUUGACGCCUUUCAUCGCCUGAUUCAUCCGAAUUUGGUGUUUUGGAAGGGCCUACAUGCAGAUUUUGUUGAAGUCCUGGAGGUAUACAUGCCAAAUUGACUGAGGCUUGGAUCUAAACCCUUUCUCUCCUCUCUUCCCACCUGCGUUUUGGAGUCCAGAGAGGACUACGCCAUUUGCUAUUCAUUAUGUCAGAACAGACGUGCGGCAGUUUAUUGAUAGUGGGGGGGUUUUAGCCUAAAGGUAGCAUGCUAAGUCAUACUUGCAGGAACUCAUGAGGGAAUAGCAUGAAGCUCCUUUCUCCAAAGAUACUUGACUGUCUUCUGAUUUUACAACACUCGGUGUGCUUCCAGAGCCAGCCAUUUGGUUGCCCUGUGUCAUGUUCUUUUAAAAGGAACAUGAUACAUUGUUUACCAAAACGAUUCCUGCCUGGAAGAACAGGUUUUUAUUACACCAGCCUUCAGUUUCCAAGCCCCUAUGGCUGCAAAGUUCCUCAGCUUUUUUUGUGCUUUAAAAUCUUCUCAAAAUCUCUCGGGGUGGGGAGGUGAUAUGGCUGCAGGAACUCCUACUGGACUUAGUGGUCGGACUAACUUCUUAUUAAUUCUCUUCCUGAAGCUGAAAAUGCAAAUAUUUUGAGCUGUAGCAAGAUGACUUGAAGAACCUCUCCAUGCAGUCUCAUUUCAGUGUAGGAAGCUGUGUGUUUUGUAAAGUCGAGCAUAUGUGUGGGGAGGCAGAAAAGGGAAUGGACUUUAUAUGUCUAUUGCAGCUUCAAAUAUACAGUGGUACCUCUGGUUACGUACUUCAUUAGUUCUGGUGGUCCGUUCUUAACCUGAAACUGUUCUUAACCUGAAGCACCACUUUAGCUAAUGGGGCCUCCCACUGCUGUGCCGCUGCUGCCGCACGAUUUCUGUUCUCAUCAUGAAGCAAAGUUCUUAACCCGAGGUACUAUUUCUGGGUUAGCGCAGUCUGUAACCUGAAGUGUAUAUAACCCGAGGUACCACUGUACCAGGUCCUUUGGAACUAGUGAUAGCCAGCAUGGUAUAAUGGUUAAGAGCAGGGGUCAGCAAACCUUUUCAGCAGGGGGCCGGUCCACUGUUCCUCAGACCUUGUGGGGGGCCGGAGAAUAUUUUG
Podarcis lilfordi (Lilford's wall lizard) is the source of this 5825-nucleotide non-coding RNA. Lineage: Eukaryota; Metazoa; Chordata; Lepidosauria; Squamata; Lacertidae. The record is from the annotation of a GenBank genome assembly.